GACGAGGGAUCCUAGCGUUGUUCGGAAUUAUUGGGCGUAAAGCGGGUGUAGGCGGAUUUGUAAGUCAGGUGUGAAAUCCCAGGGCUCAACCCUGGAAGUGCACUUGAUACUGCUAAUCUUGAGUGUGGUAGAGGUUACUGGAAUUCCUGGUGUAGUGGUAAAAUACGUAGAUAUCAGGAGGAAUACCGGAGGCGAAGGCGAGUAACUGGGCCAACACUGACGCUGAGACCCGAAAGCGUGGGGAUCAAACAGGAUUAGAUACCCCUGUAGU
This 271-nucleotide ribosomal RNA is filed under the name uncultured bacterium. Its description in RNAcentral is "partial 16S ribosomal RNA". It matches the Rfam family "Bacterial small subunit ribosomal RNA", at positions 524 to 794 of the family's 1533-position model. The record is from RNAcentral.